RNAcentral lists this ribosomal RNA (1278 nucleotides) under Bacillus sp. (in: firmicutes). RNAcentral describes it as "bacterial SSU rRNA". It matches the Rfam family "Bacterial small subunit ribosomal RNA", at positions 75 to 1341 of the family's 1533-position model. Lineage: Bacteria; Bacillati; Bacillota; Bacilli; Caryophanales; Bacillaceae. The record is from RNAcentral.
GGAGCUUGCUCCCUGAUGUUAGCGGCGGACGGGUGAGUAACACGUGGGUAACCUGCCUGUAAGACUGGGAUAACUCCGGGAAACCGGGGCUAAUACCGGAUGCUUGUUUGAACCGCAUGGUUCAAACAUAAAAGGUGGCUUCGGCUACCACUUACAGAUGGACCCGCGGCGCAUUAGCUAGUUGGUGAGGUAACGGCUCACCAAGGCAACGAUGCGUAGCCGACCUGAGAGGGUGAUCGGCCACACUGGGACUGAGACACGGCCCAGACUCCUACGGGAGGCAGCAGUAGGGAAUCUUCCGCAAUGGACGAAAGUCUGACGGAGCAACGCCGCGUGAGUGAUGAAGGUUUUCGGAUCGUAAAGCUCUGUUGUUAGGGAAGAACAAGUACCGUUCGAAUAGGGCGGUACCUUGACGGUACCUAACCAGAAAGCCACGGCUAACUACGUGCCAGCAGCCGCGGUAAUACGUAGGUGGCAAGCGUUGUCCGGAAUUAUUGGGCGUAAAGGGCUCGCAGGCGGUUUCUUAAGUCUGAUGUGAAAGCCCCCGGCUCAACCGGGGAGGGUCAUUGGAAACUGGGGAACUUGAGUGCAGAAGAGGAGAGUGGAAUUCCACGUGUAGCGGUGAAAUGCGUAGAGAUGUGGAGGAACACCAGUGGCGAAGGCGACUCUCUGGUCUGUAACUGACGCUGAGGAGCGAAAGCGUGGGGAGCGAACAGGAUUAGAUACCCUGGUAGUCCACGCGUAAACGAUGAGUGCUAAGUGUAGGGGGUUCCGCCCCUUAGUGCUGCAGCUAACGCAUUAAGCACUCCGCCUGGGGAGUACGGUCGCAAGACUGAAACUCAAAGGAAUUGACGGGGGCCCGCACAAGCGGUGGAGCAUGUGGUUUAAUUCGAAGCAACGCGAAGAACCUUACCAGGUCUUGACAUCCUCUGACAAUCCUAGAGAUAGGACGUCCCCUUCGGGGGCAGAGUGACAGGUGGUGCAUGGUUGUCGUCAGCUCGUGUCGUGAGAUGUUGGGUUAAGUCCCGCAACGAGCGCAACCCUUGAUCUUAGUUGCCAGCAUUCAGUUGGGCACUCUAAGGUGACUGCCGGUGACAAACCGGAGGAAGGUGGGGAUGACGUCAAAUCAUCAUGCCCCUUAUGACCUGGGCUACACACGUGCUACAAUGGACAGAACAAAGGGCAGCGAAACCGCGAGGUUAAGCCAAUCCCACAAAUCUGUUCUCAGUUCGGAUCGCAGUCUGCAACUCGACUGCGUGAAGCUGGAAUCGCUAGUAA